This 1345-nucleotide ribosomal RNA is filed under the name uncultured bacterium. RNAcentral's name for it is "bacterial SSU rRNA". It matches the Rfam family "Bacterial small subunit ribosomal RNA", at positions 28 to 1381 of the family's 1533-position model. The record is from RNAcentral.
GACGAACGCUGGCAGCGUGCUUAACACAUGCAAGUCGAACGAUGAAGCGGUGCUUGCACCGUGGAUUAGUGGCGAACGGGUGAGUAAUACGUGAGUGACCUACCUUUGACUCUGGGAUAAGCCUGGGAAACUGGGUCUAAUACCGGAUACGACCAAUCUCUGCAUGGGGUGUUGGUGGAAAGCGUUAUGGAGUGGUUUUAGAUGGGCUCACGGCCUAUCAGCUUGUUGGUGAGGUAAUGGCUUACCAAGGCGACGACGGGUAGCCGGCCUGAGAGGGUGACCGGCCACACUGGGACUGAGACACGGCCCAGACUCCUACGGGAGGCAGCAGUGGGGAAUAUUGCACAAUGGGCGCAAGCCUGAUGCAGCGACGCCGCGUGAGGGAUGACGGCCUUCGGGUUGUAAACCUCUGUUAGCAUCGAAGAAGCGAAAGUGACGGUAGGUGCAGAGAAAGCGCCGGCUAACUACGUGCCAGCAGCCGCGGUAAUACGUAGGGCGCGAGCGUUGUCCGGAAUUAUUGGGCGUAAAGAGCUUGUAGGCGGUUGGUCGCGUCUGCUGUGAAGGCCGGGGCUUAACUCCGGUUUUGCAGUGGGUACGGGCUAACUAGAGUGCAGUAGGGGAGACUGGAAUUCCUGGUGUAGCGGUGGAAUGCACAGAUAUCAGGAGGAACACCGAUGGCGAAGGCAGGUCUCUGGGCUGUAACUGACGCUGAGAAGCGAAAGCAUGGGGAGCGAACAGGAUUAGAUACCCUGGUAGUCCAUGCCGUAAACGUUGGGCACUAGGUGUGGGGGACAUUCCACGUUUUCCGCGCCGUAGCUAACGCAUUAAGUGCCCCGCCUGGGGAGUACGGCCGCAAGGCUAAAACUCAAAGGAAUUGACGGGGGCCCGCACAAGCGGCGGAGCAUGCGGAUUAAUUCGAUGCAACGCGAAGAACCUUACCAAGGCUUGACAUGCAUUAGAUCGCGUCAGAGAUGGCGUUUCCCUUCGGGGCUGGUGUACAGGUGGUGCAUGGUUGUCGUCAGCUCGUGUCGUGAGAUGUUGGGUUAAGUCCCGCAACGAGCGCAACCCUCGUUCUAUGUUGCCAGCGGUUCGGCCGGGGACUCAUAGGAGACUGCCGGGGUCAACUCGGAGGAAGGUGGGGAUGACGUCAAAUCAUCAUGCCCCUUAUGUCUUGGGCUUCACGCAUGCUACAAUGGCCGGUACAGAGGGUUGCGAUACUGUGAGGUGGAGCUAAUCCCUUAAAGCCGGUCUCAGUUCGGAUUGGGGUCUGCAACUCGACCCCAUGAAGUCGGAGUCGCUAGUAAUCGCAGAUCAGCAACGCUGCGGUGAAUACGUUCCCGGGCCU